GUCUAUGGCCAUGCCACCCUGAACAAGCCUGAUGUCUGAUCUCGGAAGCUAAGCAGCAUCAGACCUGGUUAGUACUUGGAUGGGAGACCACCUAGGAAGACCAGGUGCUGUAGGCA
Molecule: ribosomal RNA, 116 nt
Filed under: Pteropus alecto (black flying fox)
Lineage: Eukaryota; Metazoa; Chordata; Mammalia; Chiroptera; Pteropodidae
Source: RNAcentral